RNAcentral lists this ribosomal RNA (492 nucleotides) under uncultured bacterium. RNAcentral's name for it is "partial 16S ribosomal RNA". It matches the Rfam family "Bacterial small subunit ribosomal RNA", at positions 29 to 507 of the family's 1533-position model. The record is from RNAcentral.
AGUGAACGCUGGCGGUAGGCCUAACACAUGCAAGUCGAACGGCAGCACAGUAAGAGCUUGCUCUUACGGGUGGCGAGUGGCGGACGGGUGAGGAAUACAUCGGAAUCUACUUUUUCGUGGGGGAUAACGUAGGGAAACUUACGCUAAUACCGCAUACGACCUACGGGUGAAAGCAGGGGAUCUUCGGACCUUGCGCGAUUGAAUGAGCCGAUGUCGGAUUAGCUAGUUGGCGGGGUAAAGGCCCACCAAGGCGACGAUCCGUAGCUGGUCUGAGAGGAUGAUCAGCCACACUGGAACUGAGACACGGUCCAGACUCCUACGGGAGGCAGCAGUGGGGAAUAUUAGGCAAUGGACGCAAGCCUGAUCCAGCCAUACCGCGUGAGUGAAGAAGGCCUUCGGGUUGUAAAGCCCUUUUGUUGGGAAAGAAAAGCAGCAGGUUAAUACCCCGCUGUUCUGACGGUACCCAAAGAAUAAGCACCGGCUAACUUCGUG